GGGUUGUGAGGUUAAGCGACUAAGCGUACACGGUGGAUGCCCUGGCAGUCAGAGGCGAUGAAGGACGUGCUAAUCUGCGAAAAGCGCCGGCGAGGUGAUAUGAACCUUUGACCCGGCGAUGUCCGAAUGGGGAAACCCAGUGCAAUCCGUUGCACUAUCGUUAACUGAAUACAUAGGUUAACGAGGCGAACCGGGGGAACUGAAACAUCUAAGUACCCCGAGGAAAAGAAAUCAACCGAGAUUCCCCCAGUAGCGGCGAGCGAACGGGGAGCAGCCCGGAGUCUGAAUCAGCUUGUGUGUUAGUGGAACGGUCUGGAAAGUCCGACGGUACAGGGUGAUAGUCCCGUACACGAAAGCACACUUGCUGUGAACUCGAAGAGUAGGGCGGGACACGUGGUAUCCUGUCUGAAUAUGGGGGGACCAUCCUCCAAGGCUAAAUACUCCUGACUGACCGAUAGUGAACCAGUACCGUGAGGGAAAGGCGAAAAGAACCCCGGCGAGGGGAGUGAAAAAGAACCUGAAACCGUGUACGUACAAGCAGUGGGAGCCUACUUGUUAGGUGACUGCGUACCUUUUGUAUAAUGGGUCAGCGACUUAUAUUCUGUAGCAAGGUUAACCGUAUAGGGGAGCCGAAGGGAAACCGAGUCUUAACUGGGCGUUAAGUUGCAGGGUAUAGACCCGAAACCCGGUGAUCUAGCCAUGGGCAGGUUGAAGGUUGGGUAACACUAACUGGAGGACCGAACCGACUAAUGUUGAAAAAUUAGCGGAUGACCUGUGGCUGGGGGUGAAAGGCCAAUCAAACCGGGAGAUAGCUGGUUCUCCCCGAAAGCUAUUUAGGUAGCGCCUCGUGAAUUCAUCUUCGGGGGUAGAGCACUGUUUCGGCUAGGGGGCCAUCCCGGCUUACCAACCCGAUGCAAACUACGAAUACCGAAGAAUGUUAUCACGGGAGACACACGGCGGGUGCUAACGUCCGUCGUGAAGAGGGAAACAACCCAGACCGCCAGCUAAGGUCCCAAAGUCAUGGUUAAGUGGGAAACGAUGUGGGAAGGCACAGACAGCCAGGAUGUUGGCUUAGAAGCAGCCAUCAUUUAAAGAAAGCGUAAUAGCUCACUGGUCGAGUCGGCCUGCGCGGAAGAUGUAACGGGGCUAAACCAUGCACCGAAGCUGCGGCAGCGACACUAUGUGUUGUUGGGUAGGGGAGCGUUCUGUAAGCCGUUGAAGGUGUCCUGUGAGGGGUGCUGGAGGUAUCAGAAGUGCGAAUGCUGACAUAAGUAACGAUAAAGCGGGUGAAAAGCCCGCUCGCCGGAAGACCAAGGGUUCCUGUCCAACGUUAAUCGGGGCAGGGUGAGUCGACCCCUAAGGCGAGGCCGAAAGGCGUAGUCGAUGGGAAACAGGUUAAUAUUCCUGUACUUGGUGUUACUGCGAAGGGGGGACGGAGAAGGCUAUGUCAGCCGGGCGACGGUUGUCCCGGUUUAAGCAUGUAGGCGGAGGUUCCAGGUAAAUCCGGUACCUUAUUAACGCUGAGGUGUGAUGACGAGGCACUACGGUGCUGAAGUGAUAAAUGCCCUGCUUCCAGGAAAAGCCUCUAAGCAUCAGGUAACACGAAAUCGUACCCCAAACCGACACAGGUGGUCAGGUAGAGAAUACCAAGGCGCUUGAGAGAACUCGGGUGAAGGAACUAGGCAAAAUGGUGCCGUAACUUCGGGAGAAGGCACGCUGAUGUGUAGGUGAAGUCCCUGCGGACGGAGCUGAAAUCAGUCGAAGAUACCAGCUGGCUGCAACUGUUUAUUAAAAACACAGCACUGUGCAAACACGAAAGUGGACGUAUACGGUGUGACGCCUGCCCGGUGCCGGAAGGUUAAUUGAUGGGGUCAGCGGCAACGCGAAGCUCUUGAUCGAAGCCCCGGUAAACGGCGGCCGUAACUAUAACGGUCCUAAGGUAGCGAAAUUCCUUGUCGGGUAAGUUCCGACCUGCACGAAUGGCGUAAUGAUGGCCAGGCUGUCUCCACCCGAGACUCAGUGAAAUUGAACUCGCUGUGAAGAUGCAGUGUACCCGCGGCAAGACGGAAAGACCCCGUGAACCUUUACUAUAGCUUGACACUGAACACUGGUCCUUGAUGUGUAGGAUAGGUGGGAGGCUUUGAAGCGUGGACGCCAGUCUGCGUGGAGCCAACCUUGAAAUACCACCCUUUAAUGGCUGGUGUUCUAACGUAGACCCGUAAUCCGGGUUGCGGACAGUGUCUGGUGGGUAGUUUGACUGGGGCGGUCUCCUCCCAAAGAGUAACGGAGGAGCACGAAGGUUGGCUAAUCCUGGUCGGACAUCAGGAGGUUAGUGCAAUGGCAUAAGCCAGCUUGACUGCGAGCGUGACGGCGCGAGCAGGUGCGAAAGCAGGUCAUAGUGAUCCGGUGGUUCUGAAUGGAAGGGCCAUCGCUCAACGGAUAAAAGGUACUCCGGGGAUAACAGGCUGAUACCGCCCAAGAGUUCAUAUCGACGGCGGUGUUUGGCACCUCGAUGUCGGCUCAUCACAUCCUGGGGCUGAAGUAGGUCCCAAGGGUAUGGCUGUUCGCCAUUUAAAGUGGUACGCGAGCUGGGUUUAGAACGUCGUGAGACAGUUCGGUCCCUAUCUGCCGUGGGCGCUGGAGAAUUGAGGGGGGCUGCUCCUAGUACGAGAGGACCGGAGUGGACGCAUCACUGGUGUUCGGGUUGUCAUGCCAAUGGCACUGCCCGGUAGCUAAAUGCGGAAGAGAUAAGUGCUGAAAGCAUCUAAGCACGAAACUUGCCCCGAGAUGAGUUCUCCCUGAGACCUUGAGUCUCCUGAAGGAACGUUGAAGACGACGACGUUGAUAGGUCGGGUGUGUAAGCGCAGCGAUGCGUUGAGCUAACCGAUACUAAUGAACCGUGAGGCUUAACCUUACAACGCCGAAGCUGUU
RNAcentral lists this ribosomal RNA (2931 nucleotides) under Enterobacter hormaechei. Its description in RNAcentral is "23S ribosomal RNA". It matches the Rfam family "Bacterial large subunit ribosomal RNA". Lineage: Bacteria; Pseudomonadati; Pseudomonadota; Gammaproteobacteria; Enterobacterales; Enterobacteriaceae. The record is from RNAcentral.